RNAcentral lists this ribosomal RNA (860 nucleotides) under Xylodon victoriensis. Its description in RNAcentral is "Xylodon sp. XWW-2020g partial large subunit ribosomal RNA". It matches the Rfam family "Eukaryotic large subunit ribosomal RNA", at positions 66 to 915 of the family's 3401-position model. Lineage: Eukaryota; Fungi; Basidiomycota; Agaricomycetes; Hymenochaetales; Schizoporaceae. The record is from RNAcentral.
UAACAAGGAUUCCCCUAGUAACUGCGAGUGAAGCGGGAAGAGCUCAAAUUUAAAAUCUGACAGUUUCACUGUCCGAGUUGUAAUCUGGAGAAGCAUUUUCCGUGUCGGACCGUGUACAAGUCUCUUGGAAUAGAGCGUCAUUGAGGGUGAUAAUCCCGUUCAUGACACGGACUACCGAUGCUUUGUGAUAUGCUCUCGAAGAGUCGAGUUGUUUGGGAAUGCAGCUCAAAUUGGGUGGUAAGUUCCAUCUAAAGCUAAAUAUUGGCGAGAGACCGAUAGCGAACAAGUACCGUGAGGGAAAGAUGAAAAGCACUUUGAAAAGAGAGUUAAACAGUACGUGAAAUUGUUGAAAGGGAAACGCUUGAAGUCAGUCGCGUUGAUUGGGACUCAGCCUUGCUUUGCUUGGUGUAUUUCCCUUUUGACGGGUCAACAUCAAUUUCGGUUGGUGGAUAAAGGUAGAGGGAAUGUGGCACCUUCGGGUGUGUUUAUAGCCCUUUGCUGCAUCACUGACUGGGAUUGAGGAACGCAGCACGCCUACAUGGCCGGGGGUUCGCCCUACGUAACGUGCUUAGGAUGUUGGCAUAAUGGCUUUAAGCGACCCGUCUUGAAACACGGACCAAGGAGUCUAACAUGCUCGCGAGUGUUAGGGUGGAAAACCCUUGCGCGUAAUGAAAGUGAAAGUUGGGACCCUUCGCGGGGGCACCGACGCCCGGCCCUGAAGUUUACUGACGGUGCUGCGGUAGAGCGCGUAUGUUGGGACCCGAAAGAUGGUGAACUAUGCCUGAAUAGGGUGAAGCCAGGGGAAACCCUGGUGGAGGCUCGUAGCGAUUCUGACGUGCAAAUCGAUCGUCAAAUUUGGG